CAAACUCCACGUGGCUCUGAAUGGCCCACUACCAGGCGGUUACAGACGUCGCUGUCAAUCAGUUAUGUUCUCCAUCUAUAAAAAGGGACCCUCAGAUACAUUCUUCUCUAAGCUCUAAAUUUUGUCUCGAAACUCUGCUAAAAUUUUUACUCGAGCACUCCAUUUCUGUUGAAGCAGAGUACUGACUUGAGCGUCGGAG
Molecule: long non-coding RNA, 199 nt
Filed under: Elaeis guineensis (African oil palm)
Lineage: Eukaryota; Viridiplantae; Streptophyta; Magnoliopsida; Arecales; Arecaceae
Description: long non-coding RNA (EGUI_LNC077273)
Source: RNAcentral